UCCAAGGUGACUCUGGUGACCCUUGUAGCU
Molecule: non-coding RNA, 30 nt
Filed under: Macaca fascicularis (crab-eating macaque)
Lineage: Eukaryota; Metazoa; Chordata; Mammalia; Primates; Cercopithecidae
Also listed under: 1 other name
Source: RNAcentral